GUUUUCAGUAUGUAGGCACCAUGGAUGGCGAAUCAUGCAUGCUGCUACUAAGAACCGGCAGUAUCUUUUGAAGAUUUUC
Non-coding RNA from Glossina palpalis gambiensis, 79 nucleotides. Lineage: Eukaryota; Metazoa; Arthropoda; Insecta; Diptera; Glossinidae. The record is from Rfam.